This 461-nucleotide ribosomal RNA is filed under the name uncultured Acidobacteriota bacterium. RNAcentral describes it as "bacterial SSU rRNA". It matches the Rfam family "Bacterial small subunit ribosomal RNA", at positions 1012 to 1471 of the family's 1533-position model. The record is from RNAcentral. Lineage: Bacteria; Pseudomonadati; Acidobacteriota.
GACUUCCGCAAGGACACUCGUAGAGGUGCUGCAUGGCUGUCGUCAGCUCGUGUCGUGAGAUGUUGGGUUAAGUCCCGCAACGAGCGCAACCCUUGUUUGCUGUUGCCAUCAGGUAAUGCUGGGCACUCUGCAAAGACUGCCGGUGAUAAACCGGAGGAAGGUGGGGAUGACGUCAAGUCAGCAUGGCCUUUAUGUCUGGGGCUACACACGUGCUACAAUGGCCGGUACAAACCGUCGCAAAGCCGCAAGGUGGAGCUAAUCGGAGAAAGCCGGUCUCAGUUCGGAUAGCAGGCUGCAACUCGCCUGCUUGAAGUUGGAAUCGCUAGUAAUCGCGGAUCAGCACGCCGCGGUGAAUACGUUCCCGGGCCUUGUACACACCGCCCGUCACAUCACGAAAGCCGGUUGUACUAGAAGUCGCCAUACCAACCCGCAAGGGAGAGAGGCGCCUAAGGUAUGGUCGG